GGCGGGGCGAGAGCGCCGGACGCCUGCCCCCCGGGACGGGCACUGGACGAAGCGGGAGGAGAAAGGCAAGACUAGCCGCUCGGGUGAGGACGAGAGGAUAGAGGGCGAGACGCUUGUUCUUCUGGAUCGGUGGGUGGCUGAUCCCUCGGGUGCGGAUAGUGGGCACUGAGGUGGGGAAGGGGUUAAAAGGGAGCUUGGAGUUCGACCCGUGGUCACUGUUCAGAGCCCUAUGCGCUUUCGGUUUUCCUGGCACUGGUGUUACCCUUCCCCUAAACCUAGAGGACGUGUUUACUUUUCCCUCGCUUUCAGCCUGCCUCCGAUUCACCGGACUGAAUGUUGUGCCCUAGGCGCUGUGUACCUGGGGCGGCAUCAGAUCUUCACGUUUAGACUAGAUUUUCACGUUACUUCGGCAGAGUCCCUUCAGUUUCCGCUCUUACCGUUUGUGGAGUCAAGGUGGGGGCGAGUGUUGGAGCGCCAGGUUUUGAUUGGGACAAAAGAUAAGGUUUCUGCCUUGCGGAGAAGUUUACCAGGCUUCCCCCAUAACUGGGUUAUCCAAAUACAGCAUCUGCGCUUGUGGUUGAACGCUCGUGCUCCUCUCCGGGAGGCUGGCUCCCGCACCCGAGCUGCGCACGCUCUGGCUGGGGCGCUUGGCUGGAGGGUGCAGAGGCUUCCCAGGGAGCCGUCAGAUCUCAGAGGUUUGGACGGGCUCGUACCUUGAAGCAAUUAAAGCUUCUGUUCCAUCAGAUAAGUGCUGCGUCGUCUCUUGCGAGUGAAAUCUGAGGGCUCACAAUGUUAAUGGGCUCACGUCUUUCCCUUGAUAAUACGGUUUUGUUUACUGAGCGUGGAGAGACGGGAAAUAAAAGUGCAACUGGCACAGGAAAUGAAGACUAGAAAGGUUACAAAGACCGGCUUUACAUGGACAAACUUUUCAACUUCCUUGAACAUUUCUUUGGGGCUGCAGGAAAAUAGCAAAACUAUAUAAAUAAAUGUUAUUUACACACAGCAGUCAUGAGAGAGGGUGGCUUCCUAAAACUGUGUGAAUACGGUCUACUCUUGACUUAUUCAAGUGCCCUUGAGAAUUUGAUCUAUUAUAGCCUCUUAGUUAUGGUGACGGAGGUUUUAUUAUUGUUUCACUGAUCCACUUGUCAUGCAAGAGCGAUUGAGCCCUUGCCUAAAAUUCCACUCUGAGGAAGCCAGGAAAAUAGGAGCCAUCACAGUCCGGGGAGCCAGUUCCUUACAGGGAUGUGAACCUGUGAAUAAACAGAGCCACACCGGAAGUGUUACCCUGGUGAGGCUGAAGUUAAGCCAAGGUGGGGAGGGGGGAGGUGGAGGGUACCCAGCUAGGAGUGAGCACAAAGCUAAUAGUUCUGGUGUUGCGGCACUGCUGGAGUUCUGGGAUUUGGUUGGGAAAUGGAAUCCUGUGCUGAAGAUGGCCCUUCAAACUUGAUGUUGCUACUUCAGUCUUUUCCUUUAGCCAAUCAGAUGACAAAAGUCCUAAAUAGUUCUUUGAAAGAGAAAAAUAGAGUCUCUUUUCUAGCUCUCUGGACAGGGAAUGGUAGAGCUCUUCAGACCUAGCUGAGACUUAUAUGAAGAAACAUUUUUUUGCUGUCCCCAACUCUGAUGGCCAUACAAAAAUAUCAGCGACCCAGAUGCUGCUGAGUUCACAUAACACCUCAUGCACCCCUGGCUAGACUUUAAGAGCCAGUUUUUACCAGGAUAGUGACCUAGCAUGCACACCUCUGUCUAAAUCAGUCUUUCUCUCGAAAGGUUUUCGGUUAAUCACAACUCCUAGGCCCAGAAGCCCCAGCAGGUCAAGAAGGAAGAUGGCCUUCUAAACCUCUCUGGAGAAGGCAUCCUGCAGGCUGCAACUCAGGAUGUAGGACAGAAAACUAAGCCUAAUUGCCCGGCAGAUCUGACCAAAACCUAUCACACUAAGGGCCUUUGCUCUAAGGUUUCAGGGAAAACAGGCAGCCUAGGUGCCUUGGCAAACUUCAUUGCAACAGAGACCAGGCUUCUGCUGCUAAGCACUUGGGGCAAAGGUUGGGUCCUUCCUGUCACAAUUAAGCAUUGACUUUGAUCCACCCGUGAGCUGUCUACACUGUUUCUCUGAAGCAAAAUUUUGGAGAUUGAACUUUCGCUGGUGGAAGAAAAUGUCCUAAAAGAGAAUGAGAUUUUUUUCUUAAAAUUGUAUUGUUUUGUUUUCAGAACUAUGAGUGAGAGUUGCCGGGAGGAGGGUGUUCAAUAUUCGUUCAGACCCAAUUGCAGUUCAAUGAUCAUUGCGUACAGAGAGCUACAUUCUGUUCGUCCUUCUCUCUACUCCCUUUAACCUCUCAGGCUUUGGCAUAUCCUACACCUUGGGCCAAGAGCUGCCAUCUCAACUCCUGGACUGGUCCUUGACUUAUUCAUAUUGGAGCCGAGACUCUGGUCAUCUCAGACUCAGAUUCAUCAUUUCCCAAGGACCUACUGUGUAAGAACAUUUUGUUAGGGGAGGUCUAGGCUGCACAAAAAAAGAUACUCUCAAACCAAAGGAACAAGGGAUUCAUUUCUGGCACAGGUCUCGACUAUGCUAUAAAUCUACUCCAGAAGAAUGUGAAUCUAUAGUUCUCUAAGGAGAGAUUGGAAGAUAUUAUUGGAGGAGCUAUAUGCAGAAAGAUGUGAACAUAGGAUAUUUUGAGUAACUUUAAAGUUUGUCUCCUAGAUGUUCACAGAGUAUGGGAGAAAUGUCUUACUAAUUUUAUUGCUUGUUCAAGUCAUGAAUUCCCAAGGGUCACUUGCCCUGCCAGGUCCGGGUGCUGUGAGUUCUCAGCAGGAGGUGACAGCAGAGGGGCCUGAUUGCCAGGUUGUGUUUGAUGUAGGAAUGCUUUGAAAUCUCUCCCAUACUGCUAACCAGGGCAGCCACCCUGAAACCCCACCCCCCAUGACAACCUUUGUCUCUCAUUCAAACAACAAACUUUUUUUUCUCCUGCAGACAGAAGACAGAAGUGAGGGAGGGUGACACUCUGGUCUUCUGUAUGUUUACAGUUGUUCCUAAGAAGCCUCUUGCAACCCCUCUCCACGAGCCUCUUCAUGUUACCCCUUGGAGACGCUUUGAGCACAUGCAGACUUUUGGCUCCACAGCCCCAAAGGGUAGAAGGGCUCUUGCUUGUUGGGGUGAAAAGUGGAGGGGGGGGAAUGGGGGGUGGAUUCUGGGCUUUUCUCUCAAGCAAGAUUUGUAGUUCUCUGCAGAAGCCUUCAGUCAUCCCAUGAUGGAAGUGGGGGUGAAGGACAGGAAUUCUAAACCUAUCAGAAGCCUGAUAACAGGACCCUCCUUGAGGAAAACAGUUUGGAGUGCUGUGCCUUUCCCUGAGAGCUUUGUGAAUGAAAGGCUCAUGGGUCAAGCCCUUGCCUGGCACACAGUAAACAUACAAGAAAUGUUUGUUGGACAGAAAUAAAAAUGGACAGAAUGGUGUGUUUUUACCAUGACUAAUAUCGGAUAAAAGAUAUCUUUAGAUAACGGCUCCCAAAACCAAUUCAUGUGGGUGGAAAUCAGCAUAGAAGCUUCUUUAAAAGUGCAGGUUCCUGAGCCCACCCAAGAGAUUUUUAUCUACUAUGCCUGACUCCAGUAGGAGUUGUGAUAAGCCUCUUGAGUGAUUCUCAAGCAGGGUUCUUGGGAACCAUAUUUUGAGAAUUUCUGCCUCUCAGAAAUUGAGGUGGGCAAUGUGGGAAGAGAGGGGUAAUUCGGUGGGAGGGGCCCUUGGCUAGCAUCAUGAGAGCUCAUGGCUAGCGGGAACAUUAUACCUGAACAGUGCCCAGAAGCCUCUUGGGUGGUAGGGGCAGAGAAUGUGAAAUGGCUCUCACAUUUUGGUUUGGCAGCCUAAGUCUAGUUGGGGUGAAGUUUUAUAAAAUAUCCUUAAGUAGUAGUCAGUAGAACUUUCCCAAGUUUUGCUGAUAAAAUAGUGCUUUGCAGAGACCUGGCUUCCGCUCCUUGUCACCUUCCUAACUUGGCUUUAGGGAUGCCAGUAAGGUAGGAAGUGAAAGGCGUUUGUCUCUCCCAGUCUCUUUAGAGAAAAUGUAGAGUAGUUCUGAGGUAAUGGAAAGAAGGAAGGAGGAGUAGGAAUAGGAGUCUCAAGAGGGCGGAGCCAACUCUUCUUUCCUUCCACCUCUCCCAAAUUGUCUGGAAUGAACAUCUGAGCUCCGGGGAGCCAGAGGGAAUGAAAUGUCCCUUGGCCUAAGCUGUAACUCUUCCUUUGAUUAAAGAUCAAGAUGUCAUAAAAUGUCAGUGCAAGAAGGCCCCUUAGAGAUGAGUGACAUUGAACCCCUCAUUUCAGAGAGGAAGUAACUUUACUCAGUGGUUAAAAGACAAAACUAUCGGGGUACCUGGGUGGCUCAGUCGGCUGGGCAUCCGACUUUGGCUCAGGACAUGAUCUUGCAGUCUGUGAGUUCAAGCCCCGCAUCGGUCUCUGUGCUGACAGCUCAGAGCCUGAAACCUGCUUUGGAUUCUGUCUCCCUUGCUCUCUGCCCCUCCCCCACUCCUGCUCUGUCUCUCUCUCUCUCUCAAAAAUAAAUAAACAUUAAAAAAAAAAAAGACAAAACUACCCUGCAAAAAAUGAGGGAACUAACUUGGGUCUCCCGACUGUCUACAGUCUGCUGCCUGUCCACAGUGUACGAAGAGGAAAGAGUAAAACAGCCCCUCCUUUGCACUGUGGCAGGGUCAAUGCUGAGCAAGCAGAGCAGUGUUGAAGGAGACACCCUUGUUUCUGGGAGGCCACACAGGCAGUGUGACUGCCUGGGAGGCUUGCUGGCCUCCCUUUGCAACUUGCUGAACUGGUGCUCCAGACUUCUGAGGCCCAACCUUGAGCUACUCCUAGAGAAGGCAGAGAUGGAUCUGGGUCCCCACCCCCUCCACCACGCAAGGGUUAAGGAUCCCCUCAUUUCCUGCUGAGCUUGACCCCUGGGGGAUCAAAACCAGAGGUGUCUUUCCAUUAAUGUAACUGGAUAGUACAAAUUUAGGACCGUGUGAACACAGGUAUAUCCAGGUCGGUUACACUUGUACUAAUCUUUUUCUCCUUUAUUUUUUAAAUAGGGUAUACAUUGAAAUUUACAUGGUUCAAGAUUCAAAGGGUACACAGUGGUAUGCAGUGAGCAUCUUUCUCCCAUCACCUAGUUCUCCUUCAACAUAGGCACCAGUUAAGAGUUUCUUACAUGUCUUUCCAGAGAUACCUUAUACGUUUCUAUCUAUCUAUAAAUCCCCCCACGUUUUUUUUUUGGGGGGUUUUUUUUUUUUUUGGUUUUUUUGCUUAAAUGAUGGUGUACCAGACAGACUCUCUCGCACCAUGUUUUUUCCCCUGUUGUAUCUUGAAGAUCAUUUCCUAUAAAUGCAUACAGAACUUCCUGGCUUAUUUUUACAACUUCAUGCUGUUCUGCUGUACACACCUACCACAAUUUAUUUAACUAAUCCCCUAUUAAUGGAUAUUUCGCUUAUUAUUCAUUGUUUUCCCAUUACAAACACAUGUUCAAGUUUUUAACCUAUUAGAAAAAUCCCCAGACAUGGAAUUACUUAGUCAAAAGUAUGUGCACUGGCAAUCUUGACGCAGAUUGCCAUAUUGCUCUCCUUAGAUGUGAAUCACUUUAUGCUUCUGCCAGCAACAUAUGAGAAUUCCUGUUACCUCAUACCCGUGCCAAGUCAGUGGGAUAGUAAAAGUUUUUAUUUUUGCCAGUCUGAUAAAUAAAGAAUAAUACCUUUUACUUAUCCUUAUAGCAUCUCCAAAAAUGCCAUUCUUUUUUUAUCUUGUUUGAUCCUUUCAUAAUUCUAGUUUACAAAUAGUAAUGGCGACACAGAAAAGAUAAACUGUUGGUCGUUAUCCCACCCAAUGUAAAUGGCCAAGGUCAGACGUUCAGCACUCUUUCCUGUACUGCCCUGUGCCCCGAGGAAGCCUAAGGAGAUUCAGAGAGAGUGGGUGGCUUCAAGCAUUCCCCGAAAGACACAUGAUAUAAAAAAGCUUUCCGACAUCUGCUAAGAGGCCUCCUCCUUAGUGGUCUGAUACCAAGACCACAUUUCUGCAUGUGUCCCUGGAGAGUACCCUCCGGAAGCAGAGGAGUUCUAAUUAGCAAUAUGAUCUGACCUAGUCCUAAGCAUUAGCCUGUGUUCAAUAUCUGGGAAGCAGUAGGUGUUGUUUUUAAUUUUCCUGAGACUUAUUUCUCACUGGACAUCCAGGAUCUAAGUUAUUGAUCAGCAUGGUGUGGGUAAGAGGAUGUUUUCCCUCGGUUUUAGCUUUGCCUGUGAUUCUCAUUUAGACCUGGUGAAGAUACCUGGUGAAGAUAACACACACACACACACACACACACACACACACACACACACACACACACGCAACUUUACUGAUAAACUUAUGAGGUAGAUAUCUAUUGACUGUUUCACUGAAGAUGAAACUGAAGGCCAGAAAGAUUAAGUGUAUUGUUUAGGGUCAUACAAUGUAUCAGCAAAACAGAAAAUACAGUGUAGACCUAAAACAGAAGUCCUUAGUUUCCCCCUGCAAAAUCUUCUUUUUCCCCUUCCUGUAUUCAUUUUGGUGAAUGACCUGGCUACCCAAUCAGGGCCUCUAAAUAGAAGCCUAGGGAUUAACAUCCAUAACUCCUCUUUCACUUGUCCAACUGUCAGCAAGUCCUGUGAAUUUGUCCUCCUAAAUGUCUUCCCUCUUCAUCCUCGUUACCUUAGUUCCUCCCUAGGCUGGAUUAUUGCAGCAGCUUCCCCUUCUUCUUUCCUUCUUGCCUCCUAUCCCUCCUCCAGUCAGACACAGCAUCCCUCCCAAAGAGCAAGCUUUCCAAAUAGAUAACGUCAUGUCCCAGUUUAAAAACUUCAGUGGCUUCUCACUGCCUGCAGAUUAAUUCCAGACUCCUUUCCACGGACCUCAUACAACCUCUUUUGCCAGCCAGAUACUCUACUCCAAACUCUCUUUGUUCCAGGUCUAGACCUUGUUCUUUCUUCCCUCCCUGCUUGCGUGUGCUGCUCUUUCCACCGAGUAUGUCCUUCCUUCCUAGACCUAAAAAGCUCAUACUUCAGGAAUCAAAAUUCACCUCCUCUGAGAAGCCUUUUCUGACACUACACUUGUGUUAGUGGCUCCUUCUCUUUAUUCCAGGAACCUUUAGGCCAUACUUCUGUUCUAGCGUCUGUCACAGUUUUAGGAUUCUUUUUCUUCCCCAGUAGAUCAAAAGGCAUACACUAUUAGUGACCCAUUUUUAGAUCUCAAAGCCCAACACAGUGCACACAGGAGCUGUUCAGCAGGUAUUGCUGAAAGGCAAGGAGAGAGAGAGACUCUGACCCAAGGACAAGAGGACCAGUAUUUUAAUUGCUUAAAGAAUUCAGGACACUGUGCAAGACUUAAUGCUACAGCUUCUAUCUAUCUAAAGUAAAAUGAUAGUAGAACAUCUCUCCAAAGCAAGUUAAUUUCCACCUGAGAGGAUGCUGAGAGAGAAGACAGGGAGGGAGGAGCUGGGAUUUUGUCUUUCAGGGGCUCUUCCUAUAGGCUAAGGCAACAACUUUUAACUAACGUCAGAAAUUUCUCAGCUGAUGUCACUCAAAAAGAGGGUAAAAGGGGGGGUAGCCUGAAACUUUCUUAGAACUUACCGAGGACUACAAGCACCACCGUAAGAACGCUUCACCACCCACUUUACCCAUGACCUCCUGCUGCAAACAGCUCUAAUGCUAAUGACCUCCUUCUCUCUCCCUCCACCAACGCUCACAGUUUUCAGUCUAUCCCUUUCUGGUAUUUCUAAAAUGAACCCCAAAAGAGCUGAAGUAAAAAUACUCCAGUCCUUCCUUCACACUUGAAAAGAGAGAGGCAUAUCAUUAUGGUUGGCAUUUUACGUAUAUUUUAAUUGUUCUUUUUAUAUGGCAUUCAGGUUUAGUUCCAAGUUUAACAGGGAUACCCUUGCUUCCUUCCAAAUAAAUUACUCCUGCAGGUAAAUAAGAGAACUAAACUAGCUCUGCCCCAUCCCUGAAUUCUAGUCCCCUGGGAAUCUUUUUUUUUUUUUUUUUUUUUAAGACUCUUACAUAGUGUCUGCGAAACCUGGGAUUUUCCUCUUCCCUUUCCAGGGGUACAGCUGCGCUAAGGGUGUGACGGGGGGCGGGGAGCAGGGGGGGGCAGGGUAUACAGUCUCCGUGCGUCUGGGGCGGGCGCGGGGGCCGCCCCUUAGGAGAGCCGUGGGCUGCAAGGGGUCCGGAGGCGGGGCCGGCAGGCGGCCGGGAGUACCGGGAGUGGGGGGGGGGGGGUGUCCGGCCUCGCGCCGCAGAGCUUGGGGCAGCGGGUCGCGCCCUCCGUGAGCGCUCACCCCGGGUGCCUGUGUCUCCUCUGCUUGCGGUUUCUGGUCGGCUCCCAGCUGGCCCAGACUUGCUCUGAAGUAGGAGGAACCGCUGUCGAGUGAAGAGUGCACACCGGGUGAUUGAUGAAUUCUUAAUAGGACUAACCUCUCCCGCCACCACCCCCCCCCGACCCUCGACACACACUGAGAAAUCCUUCACCCAAGCCCCCCCCCGCCCCCCCCCUCCCCAGGCCUCGUCGCCGGCGAGAGGGGACGCGGCCGCCAGCCGGUUGGGUGAUUAACUCACCGUUUGUCUUUCGGAAAGUGUGCCAGGUGGAUUGAGGCAGCCUGGCCGCUCCGGCUCUCUGCUGACUGCGCCGGGCUGCAGGCCGGAGAGCGCGGAACGAGCGCGCGCGUCACAUGGUGGCGCGGCCCGGAGCCGGCCUUUGUGCCGCGCGACCGCCCGGCCGCCCCGGGGAGGCGGCGGCUAUUGUUCCCCGCGGGGGAGGGAGGUGCUCAGACUCGGGGUCCACGCCAGCCUCCUCCCCAGAGUGUCCCCACAUCUGAGGACGGGUGGGGGCUUCCUUUGUGUGUUUUGGGCCUGCGACGGGAAUGGCGCGCCGUUGCCGCCCCAAGGGGCCGCAGAAGGGGCCGAGAGGUUGGUGCCAGCGCUGUCGCUACUUCGAGCUCGGCCCAACCGACCGACCCAGUUUCCCGCUCUGCCCUUGCGGAAGAGACGGGGAGGGAUGUGGUAUUUGUAGGGCAUGCGCUUGGAACAAUAGAGCCAUCAAAAGGCCUUCUCCCUGGUCUCCUCCCAAGGCAGCUAGGCUCUUCUCCCCUCUUUCGGAAAGGCCGUGGCCCAACAGGUCCUCUUGGCCUGAUUUUAGGCCUGCUUUCCCAGUAAAAACACUUCAUCUGUUCUCCACAAAUCCUAAUUUAAAGUCUCCUCCUUGGACUCUUACUGAUGUAAACAUCCCAUUUUCAUUAUUUUCCAGAUAUUAUUCUUCCAUAAAUUGAUCCAGACUACCAUAGGAACCAGUCAAGAUAUUUUGCCACAGGAUCUAGGACAAGAGGAUUUACCUACUAUUGCCCACCUUGCAAAUCUCCUAGGGACCUUUCACCUGCUUCUGCUACUGCAAAUGAUUGGACAUCCAUUUACAUUUCCUCUUCUUCAUGUGUGGAAGGAAACUUUUGUUCACUGUGCUUCAGGCUGCCCCUGGCCUGAAAGUGGGUCCUUGAAUUCCCCUUGUACCAUUCCAACUUGCCAAGGUGGUUAUGAGACCUGAGGGAGGUGUUUAGGCGUGGACUUUGGGCCAGGUGUGUAAAUCCAUUUGGUACCAACUUUGGGCCCCAAGGAUAAGGGCAUGUGUAGCUGCACCAGAAGAGAGGGGAACAGUGAAAACUAAAAUUUCACCCUCUGUGAUGAUCUUCACCACCACCAGUACCAACAAUGUUGUAAGUACAGAGGAUUCACCUACCCAGUCGUUUUUCCUCUCCAUCCGGGCCCUCUGCAAGAGUGAGCCAGUGCUCAGAGAUGGUGGAGGGUAUGGCUGGUGACUCAGUCUCAACUGUGUCUCAACUGUGUCCAAAGUGUCUAGGGAGAAGUCUGCUCACCGGUAGCUAUAUCCUCUCUGGGAAGGCACAGUGCCCUAAAGUGGUGAGGCUGUAGGCCUGUGGGAACUGGGGCCUCCUGCCCCUCUUUUUAUUUUUAUUUAAUACUCACAAACUUCUCUUCAUUCCCCCCCUUUUUUUCCCUUACAGUUUCUGAAAGAAGGACGGAAGUAACACCAAGAACUCCCAGAUGAAGAGGACCUUCCUGGAUCUGUAACUGGGAUUAACCAGUUCUUUACUGGGAGAGAAAGUUUCAACUAAUCCUCAGGAUAAAAGCAAACAGGCCUGUGACUGUCCCUUGAACACUGACAGUGUAAACAAGCUUCUGGCUCCUCCAGGUCAAGCAGAGCAACACUUUUCAUUAGAAUGUUGGGUUUCUUCUUUGUUAUUCAAACAUACACCCACACACAUCCCCUUGUCCCUCCCUAAUGAACAAACCUCAACAGAUGGAGAGCCUAGGCUCCCAAGACUUAUGACUGAGAAGAUGCACUUCACUCAAGGUGGGUUGGCUUGUACAGAAUGGGGGAGAGAGAAGAAAUGGGAAGCUAGUAUAGGUAAUUACUCCUCUUUUAAUACUCCUUACAGAUAGAAAUCCAAAAAAUCCUGUUCCGCAAGGUUAGCAGCCUCUGGGGCCUGGGAAACCGAUUUGGCUGAUGUGUCUGUGAUAGGGACUAGGCUUGGGGCUGCACCAGGGGGAAAGUACUCACUCUAUAUUCUAUCAUUCUCUCUCAUUUGAAAGCCUGUACAAAGAAAUGGUACAAAUGGAUGGUUAACUUAAUGAUUGCAUCAGAGGCGGAUUUUUCUCUGUCAGGACCCAGGAUGAGGCUGAGGUCUGAAAGCCAGGAGGCAGAACAUUUACUUAAUCGCCCUUUCUUACCGCCUUUCCAGGGGCCAGGACUGCUCUUCAGACCUUUCCUCUGACACGUCCCCGUACCCCUGGCUAGCUCAGUUGGGUCUUCUUACCCCACUCCUGGCUGGGCCUGAGUUUCUCCUGGUAGCCACGGCAAGGUCUCCUUAUAGCUAAAUCUUUUCCCACUCCCACCUCCCAUUCUACUGCGGGCCAUUUUUGCAGCCUCCUCUCUACCCAAAUUUAAUUAACAUUUGAUUGCCUGCACAGAACAACCAGGGGCUCCCAAACCGCUGCCACCCCCAUCCAUGGACCCUUUCUUCAGGCCUCAGGAUGAUCCCCCACAACCUCGCUGAUCCCUCCCCUCCCCCAGCGCUCCCCGCCGCCUCUAUAGGAAAAAAAAAAAAAAAAAGCCGAGCUGGUCAAGGCCUGAGCCAGAGAGCCACGUCCCCCUCUGGAGCAGCAAAGGGGGUAAACCUCCCAGAGACCGAUGCCCAAAGCGAGGCCCGGCCCUUCCCCACCUCCAGGCGUAGGCCCAACAGUGCCAUUGUGAGGCCUUUCCCGACGCGGAGCCCUUGGGGAAGCUGCGCACACAAAGGCGCAGCCGCUCCUGGAAGCCCGGCUUGCUCGGCGCCCUCAACCUAGCGCCGGACAGUCGAGGCCUUGUGCGCUCCCCCAUUGUACCCCACGCGGCCGUCUCGGGCGAAAGUCACGGGCUGGGGUGGAGGUUUCCGUCUCCUGCCAGCUUGCCCCUUCCCGCUCCAGGUCACACACUCCCCCCCACUUCCCCGGGAAGGAGAGGCCUGGGCCCAGAGCGCCAUUGCCCAGCCGGUGCUCCCCUCCCCCACGCUCUUCUUUCUGCUUUCCCGAGGCCCGGGAGGGAGGAGGCGGGCGCCUCCGCCGAUAGAGCAGCUAUUGUGACCUUCCCUCGCCGAGCGGGAACCCAACCGAGUGUACCGCUGGCGGGGGAGGAGGCGACUGUAUGCGCAGACCUCGGGGUGCAGAGGGGGGUGGUACUGGGAAAUAAAUAAAGGUUUGCAACCUUGGGCAGUUGGGCCUUCAGAGGGCGUUUGGUUGUGUUUAGACUCCGGUGCUUCCUAACACUAAUUGCGGGCUCAAAAGGAGCAGAAUUUAUGGCGAAGGCCAAGGCGGCUUGUUUAUAAUUUAUGAAGUUUUAAAUGGCUGUGCUACAGGCCCUCCUCUCGCCCUGGCCGGCGGCCGCGCGGGAAGCGCCUCCCCAGACUCGCCACCGCGCCCUCCUCCCCGCGCCAGGAGCGGCGGAGUGUGCCCAUCACAUGACACGCCGAGGGCAGGAAAGAAUCCAAGCCAUUCUAGGAAGCCCCGAGGAAACCUGUCACCAAAGGUGAGAGAAAGUCAAUUUGUCCCAAGCGAACUCCUCCACCCCGUUAGAGAGGGGUGCCUCCGGGUAACUGCCCGGAGAGGGAGCCCCCGACCCCGCACCUCUCUGGAGCAUCAGUGUGAGAGGAAGCUGAUGUCAGCCGGCCUAGACACCGUUUAAAGUCUAAUCCAUGAGACCUAAGCCGCAGAUGACACUUGGGGCCUUGCAGACACCCGCAGACUCAGCAGAUACUCCUGCGGUAACACACCGCGCUGGAAAACGCCUGGAGCCAUAAUGCAUUAUGUAUUUUUAUUAUUAUUUAUGGUAGGAAGAGGAGAUGAGGGAAAACCGGGCUGAAUCUAAACAGCCCGAUAAUUCAUCUAUUUAAUAUUUAGCCAGUUAAGAAAGGUUGUUGUAAUCCCUGCAAGGCAGCAAGCUCUUCUUUGACUUCCCUAAUAGCUUAAAAAAUAAUUUCUUACAAGACAAUUAGAAAUUCUGCCUAUGGAUGCAAGUUUCAUAGAAAACAAUUUUAAACCUUGCAAAUGGGUAAAAUAUCCCUUCAGUUGAAGUCAUUUAUUCUGUUGAUACACUUGUACAACAUGUAUACUCUAAACCUGCUCAGAUAAAGUGAAAUUUUGCAAAAGGAUAAUCCCUACCACCCCCGAUCUAACAUGCCAUUUUAAAAACAAAGGAACAAGGGAACUAGAUAUUAUUUGAGCUAUCAUUAUUUAGCGAAACACAAACAUCCAAAUAGAAACGAUUGUUGUUCCACCAGAAGAUUAGAAGUUAAAUUAUUUCCACACAAUGGGAAUUUCACCUCGUGUCACGGGGGGGAUGUAGUAGGAGCUGUAUUAUUUGUCAAACCGAAUAGAGAUGCGUGGGCUGACUUUGCUGAAAUACAAAAGACUUGAACCUUAUCUGAAGGCGCUUUCCAAGUGUCUCCUCCUAGAGAAGCGGGUGGACAUUGUCCACCCCUAGCCGAAGCCAGGCUAAUAUUUACAAAGUGGAUAUAAAUCCUUGGAGACAUUUUUGCCCGUGUUGUACAAAGAAACCGGAAUAAACAAGGUGUUUAUACUUGUUGUGUUCCAUUAAUUAAACUUUUAUUACUUUACAUCGUGGGGAACGUUUGUUUACUUGAGAAAUGAACCACCAACCAUCAUAAAGGAAAAAGUCCUGACAGCAUUUCCUAGAGAAAAAGCUUAGGUGCGUGUCUCCAAAUGAUCGUUUCUUUUUGUGCACCUUAGCUUUUUCAGAGCUCAGUUCUUCUUACAACUUCUCUUGUGUCUUUUCUUUGAUUGUCAGUUUUCUUUCAAAGUUUAUUUUUUAUUAGCGCAGAAACGUGAGAGCUGGCCUCCCCAGUGUAAAUGCAACCUUAAAAAGUCGAUUUAUGUCUAAAAAGAAGGUGGUGGAAAUAGCAUAGCAGGCACAGCACAAAGCCCUACCCAGAUUAUCCCCCGCCCCGUCCCGUCCCCGGGGCAUUUCUGGGUUUGCAUCCUCAGAUUUCCACCCCCCACCAAUGUCAAUAGCUGCAAUGUAAUCAAGUAUCCCCAGAACCAAUUCGUAUACCAGAUUCCAAAUAAAUGAAAAAUAGAUAUAUCAAAGAGUCAGCCUAUUCGGGGGCCUUCUGCUGGGAUUGUGCAAAAGAUAAAAGGCAGAGCGAUCUACUUCCCAGUGUGCUUGAUUAACACAGAUACACUUCCGACUGAGAAAUUUUUUUUAUUCUAAAUAUUUGUUCAAAUAGUACCAGACAAUUUGAAAUCAAUAAACUGUGUCGAGUGGUGAGGGCUGCGGCUGUUGAGAAAUGAGUAACGGGUGUCGUGCCACGCCACGGGGCCGCCUGACUCUAUACCCAUGAAGGACAAUUUGCGGUCUUAAUCCUUUACAACUACAAACACCAGCCACGGUUACAACUGUUCAAAACUACUCUCUCAACUAGUUCAGAGCAAGGGGACUAAAGAGGUGAGACGUGGCCCCCGCGGCCUGGGAGCGCGUUCCUAAGCUCGGCUGGAGAAUUCUACAAAUAUACACAUAAAUACAUUAAGACGAGGAUAAAUAAUCAGGGAAACGAAAUGACUCGCUUCAAAUAAUAAAUACGGUCGUUGAGUCCGAUGCAAUCCUUACGGGACGGGAAGGAGCAUAUAAAUUAAGGUCUCCGCAACUAAGCUAGACGCGGGCCAGGCCCGGGGCUGUCCGGGCUCUGGUCCCUCUGCAGAGCGCGCCGCCGGUGGAUCUCAGACUUACCUUCGGGACACCAUUACCAGAUUAGAGUCCCUCGGUCCGCAGUAUAUGGCACUGUCAGGGUUACAGAGGACAAUCCUUGCGGCUGAUUUAUGGCGAGUCACCCAAAGGAGGGAGCUCCUGGAGGGGAGGCCCAGUCGCCUGCGCCUCGGCCGCUGUUG
Molecule: long non-coding RNA, 14473 nt
Filed under: Lynx pardinus (Iberian lynx)
Lineage: Eukaryota; Metazoa; Chordata; Mammalia; Carnivora; Felidae
Source: RNAcentral